This is a non-coding RNA of Camelina sativa (false flax), 492 nucleotides long. The record is from RefSeq and is a predicted model, not a curated record. Lineage: Eukaryota; Viridiplantae; Streptophyta; Magnoliopsida; Brassicales; Brassicaceae.
GUUGUUCUUGAUUGAUCUACAACCAAUUGGCACAUGUGACAUGUCUAAACUAGUGCCUUCAACUAGUCCGAAUCGGUUAUGUAAGUCUGAAAACUAUAUCGCAUGUGCUCCUCCAUGUAAAUAUCUCUUUCCAGCAAGCCUAAUCACGGGCAAGUCUUCCUAGAAAUCUACUAUCUCCAUCGAUUAAAAGUGCAUGAACCGAGAUAAUACUUGCAAGUCGCAAUCGAGAAUGAAGAAGAAGAAGACGGAGUUGAAAUGACUUGCAAAAACCGGAACCCUCUGUUUUGAGCCAAACUACUUUACAUUUUGGGUCUAUGAAAUAUUGAAGGUCAGUAAUAACUAUUAACUUUUAACCCUGUGAGGCUGUGACAGAGUUACUUCUUUAACAGAAUUAUGAAAAUAUAGAGAUCAUAAUUAGAGAUAUAUGUAGUGUCUAUGGAAUGAAGACUCCAAAUAACACACAAAUUAACCACUCCAUCAUUGGCCUCAAAA